Molecule: RNA transcript, 7721 nt
Organism: Cuculus canorus (common cuckoo)
Lineage: Eukaryota; Metazoa; Chordata; Aves; Cuculiformes; Cuculidae
Gene: LNPK
Gene name: lunapark, ER junction formation factor
Exons: 14
Source: RefSeq, a predicted model, not a curated record
GGGCGGCGCGGGGGCCGAUGGGAUCGCGGCGGCCGGGCCCCCUCCCAGGGCGGGUGGCGGCGGGGUGCGGCUCGGCCCGCGGCAGCUGUGAAUUCUUGUAGAAGAUUGAUAGCUCUGCCAACAUUGUCCAGAGUAGAAGAUGGGUGGUUUAAUUUCAAGAUGGAGGCAGGCAAAGCCUUCCACUGUAGAGCUAUUAGAAAAAAUUAAUAAGGAAAUACAGACAUUAGAAGAAUUUAGAGAAAAAAAUCAAAGACUACAGAAACUAUGGGUUGGAAGACUGCUUCUCUACUCUUCACUUCUUUACCUUACCACCUGCAUGAUUGUGUAUUUCUGGUGUCUUCCGGAUGAGUGGUCAGCAAGGCUGAUGAUGACACUUCCGUUUUUUUCAUUUCCAUUGAUAAUCUGGUUUGUAAGAACACUGCUCAUUUUUUUCUUUUCCAAAAGGACAGAAAGGAAUAAUGAUGCGCUGGAAGAUCUAAAAUCUCAAAAGAAAAAAAUACUUGAAGAAGUAAUGGAGAAGGAAACGUACAAGACUGCUAAAUUAAUCCUAGAAAGGUUUGAUCCAGAAUCAAGUGCAAAGGAGGCUGAACUGCCAUCUGCUGGAACAUCUGCAACCUCGAGACCUGGACAAGAAAUUCGUCAGAGGACCACAGCUCAAAGAAAUGCUUCUACACCCCUGCCUGCUACUCCUGGACAAGGCUCUCCGAAAUCACUGGUUCCAGCAUCUCCUAAUCUGCAAAGAGAUGCAUCAACUCCGAGUGGACCCACAGAAAGAACUAUUGUGCCAUCCUUGCAGUCAAAUGUUUUGCCAAGACGCCCUGGAUCCCCUGCUACUUCGGUGCCUGGCAUGGGUCUUCAUCCUCCAGGACCUCCAUUAGCAAGACCCAUUCUUCCUCGAGAAAGAGGAGUUCUGGAUAGAGUUAUUGAAUAUUUGGUUGGUGAUGGUCCUCAGAACAGGUAUGCCCUUAUAUGUCAGCAAUGUUUCUCUCAUAACGGUAUGGCUUUGAAGGAGGAGUUUGAAUACAUAGCAUUUAGGUGUGCCUACUGCUUUUUUCUGAAUCCUGCAAGAAAAACUAGACCUCAGGCUCCAAGACUUCCAGAAUUCAGUUUUGAAAAGAAGCCAUCUACAGAAUCAGGGUCCGAAACUGAGGCUCUAGAACCUAGAGAGAGAAAGCCCCAGGAGACUCGGCAGACAGAAGAAUCUGAAGAAGAAAGGACGCAUGUCAUUGAGACAAAUGAGAUGGAUGAUAAAGCCCCAAGUCCUGAGCUGCUAAAUGAUAACCUAGCUGAAGAAGUUGAAAAAGAAGAAACAGAAAAUGUUUCAACAACAGAAGACUCUGUUUCAGAGUGUAUUUCAGCUGAACAAAGUGAAGACUCUUUAAAGAAAACAGAAUAACGUACUUCAAGUGCCUUCUGUAGCUAGUUUUUAGCUUUGUUCAUGCCUGUUGUUACUAUUCAGAGAUGCUGGAUUUAUAGAAAACUCAAGCAACAAAGACCUUCCAGCUCUCCUGAAAUGGUCUGUCCUCUUAAUUCGUUGCAUCACUUCAAGGAGUUCUACACAGUUGACAGAACUUAUUUUUUACUUGUUCAGCACACAAAGAAAAAAGCUUUCCAGAAGCACCAAGGAAAUUCAUUUUGAGAAAACUGUUUUAAAUGAUGUUUUAGAAGAAAUGUGGAAGUUGGUAUUUGUUAAGGAAUGGUUGGACUUGUAUUUUUUUUGUCAAGCUUUAUUUAAACAGGAGAUCCUGUAUAUUUAUGGUUUAAGUUCUUAUUGUUGUGAUAACCUUUUUACAUUAGUAAAGGGUAUAUAUAUUUAUGUACUAUAAAUAUUACAUUAUCUUUAAUAAGAAGUAUGAUUUAAUCCUAGCUGUGGUCUUGACUGGUAGUUAUGUUGCCUCCAUUAAAAUCAAAGGCGAAGACAUUAAUUAGUUUGAAUUCCUAGGGUCUACUAGACUUGUUGAAAUGUCUGUCCUAGUUUUUCUGCUUGUAAUUGAGAAAAUAUUUAAACUUGUGCUCACUUUUUGAAGUUUACUAUUUUACCAAAUUUUUAAGAGUAUAGCUUGACGUUUGAAUAUCUGCUGCCUUUGCUAUGUAUGUGACUUCUUAAGGAAAAUCUGGAUUCUGAGAAAGCUACUGAAUAUUCAUCUGAUCUGGAUUAUGAUGAUGGCUGAGAUAAGAGUCAGGCUGCUCUUUGUUUUACAGUUUUAAGGUGUUCAUUCUGUUCAGUAAUUCAUUCUGUGCUGGCUGUACUCAGUCAAGCUGGAUUUCAUAGAUAUUGUUUUUAAGGGAUCUCAUGUGUUACCAGAAAAAGGAUGAGGGUUCCUCACCUUCUUCAGUGCAGCCCCCGCCCUGCAGUUGGACUGGCAUGUGUAGGAAAAGAAAGCUGUUCAAGGUUGAGUAGGUUCUGAUAAGACCCAUUUAUCUGUGCUGCAAUCAAUUGUGAGAACUCCUGGCUCAUGGCACGAACGCCCAGCUACCCACCCUCAAAGGUCAGGCUGGCAUACGACUGUGAAAUUUUGUGUGUGCACUGAAGUAGAGGCAUGGAAAACCUGCCUUGAAUUGGUAUAAAAAUUGUGUAGUAACUUCAGAGGGGACUGUGGAGUUGUGAGGAUGCUCAUUUUGGCCUGCGAUCCCAUAGACACGUGUCUCGGGGUGGGUAUUACAGGUUUUAUUGUAUCUAAAUGGUGAUUUAUGUCCUUAUGCCUGCAUUAUUGUCCACAAGGUACUGCCCUGUGUCACAGGCCUGUAUUACCUAAUUUUUUCAGACUGUUUCAUUUUCAUUAGUACAGCUGCUUUAGCUUGUGAUCAGUGUCCUGCACCUCAUUGAUAAUCUAAGAGAGUAUUAGAUGCACAGAAGUGACACCUAACCCUGUCAGUCUGGCUUGAUUGACCCCUCAGCUUCCGAAACAUGAAUUCAUUUUUUUUUAAAACCCAAGUUAGCCCGACAUCCAUUUUCACACACAUUCUGGGCAGUUUAAAGGUUGGUCGGAAUUGAAUAUUGCUCUUUCAAAUUUGAUAAUGUAUGAGUACAGAACUGUGACCUUUGAUACGUAGUAAUACAUCAACAUGACACGAGCAGUAAGUGCAGCAAUUACCUUUACUACACUUGAGAUUGUGUUUUAGUUCUCGUCUUGUAAGCAAUUAUUUCAGAAAAAAAAAAAGGAUAUCGCUAAGUUAAAUAUGUUUUGCAAAUAGCGUAAAUGCAGAAAUUAAUGUUUGGGGACUUUUUGAUUUACAGGUGAAUGUUUUCAAAUGAAUGUUGGCUUUUAAAUUAAUAUUGGUUCAGUAGUAAAAUGAAGUCUUGUGCCACUGGCUUCUUUUAUGAUAUCUUCUUCUGGGAGAGUUUCUUUAACCCUUUUUUGUUGUGUUCUGUAGUCGAAGUUUCAUAUCCUGAUUUGUAGCUGAAGCCUAAUCCUGAAAGCAGUUGAUGUGUCGCUGUUUCUUGUUCGCAUGAUAAUACUCGAAAGAGUUGGUUACAUGCAUGAUAAUGAUGCAAGUUUACAUGCUUUCAAGUGCCUUUCAGAACAUAUGAGAGUCUCAGACCUGCACCAUGUAUUGAUUCAAAAGGCUGUUUUUGGUUUGGUUUAGUUUCCAAGCCUUCUUCCUCACCUGUUAUAAAUUAUUUGACUAAUGCUAGUGCACAACCACUAACUGGUAGGCACUAUAAAAACACAAAUCCAUACUCCUUGCCAAAGAGCAUAAAGCCUCGAGAGGACUGAUAUCAGCUGUGGCUUCUGUUCUGUGGACUAAAAAUCAGAAUAAAAUUACUGUGUCAUUCUGAGCAAGCAAUUGAGUAACCACUGAAUGGUGACUUUCUGUCAAUGCUGUCUGUCAUGACCAAACCUCGGGGGAAUAACUUGGAGUAGAACUUGUUCUUCUAAAAUAUCUGCUUCCUCAGCAGCUGGGCACUGGGCAGUGUCGGUGUGCUGGAGUUAAGCACUGAGCUUAAUUCAGGAUCUGGGAAAAUGCUUAUUUUGUUUUAUAAUGAGGUGAAAACACCUUUUGAAGUGCAUUUCUUUAAGCACUCAGUCUGAACCCCUCGGCCCCGGUAAUGUCUGGCUGUAUGGGGGCCCUUGUGCAGGAGACAGAUGACCCAAGCUGCUGAUGUGGUUUGGGGACUGAAUGGAGCCCAUCUCUCCGAAAUCUGCCGUGAAGAGAGGAGUGAGUGGUUUCUCUAGAGCAGCUUUCUUGAAAUCCUGGCUGUGGACUCAUUUGCUGUAUGUACACACGAGUUGUAGGCUCAUAAUAAGCCUAAAAAUUUCUGUAAUGAAAGAUUUGUCAAAAUGGAAGGGCACUUCUAGCAGAUUUUCUCACUAUUCUAGCAACAGUUAGAAAAUUCUUGACUAUUUGUGGUGGUGUUUGUUCUCUCGGAGGAAACGCAAGAUAAAUACAUCAGAUCAUUAUGUAAAUGACUCCUAAUCAAGCUCUUGGCUAUGCAGACUGUUUUGUAAAGCUACAAGGAAGGCACUACCUCAGGAAAUUGUGCAAACAUACUCCUGUGUGGCUCCUUGUGGCUUUCAACCUGUGCUCUGUAAGAGCACUUGGGCCCUUAACUACUUCCAAAUAAAGUCCUCAAGCGUUUUUGCAUUGUUUUGUUAAAUAGCAAAUGUUAAUAGUACUUAGUCUGGAAAAAGUACCCAGCCUAUUUUUGUGUGAUGUUUUCUAUUAAAAAAUGUAAAUGGCAUGUAUACGGAAAUGUUAAGUCUCAGCUGCUGACAGUGGGUGAAGGUGGUUACAACAGCUCACUGUGGAAGUUUGUUUUUCAACUGGGCUCUGUGUUUGCAGUCAGUUCCUUACGGCGAAAGGCUGCCCUUAUGCCAGUAGGUGACUCCAUGGGUAGACAAGAGCUGGGCUGCAAGUAACAACAGCAAAAAUAACGGCAGCUGCUGUGUCGUUGCAUGUCAGUGUUUGUUGCUUUUUUUUUUUUAUUUGCUUAUACUGAAUUUAUUACAUUUGGUAACAACUUAGCAUUUUUAGUUCUCCUCUGCAUUGUACAACCAUUAUUCUCUGUAUUGUAUCAACCAUCAUUUUAAAAGAACUGUCAACACUGGUAUUCCCCAACAGUAGAAUCUCUUUUAUAAUAUCUGGAAAAUAUUUCCUUUCAUAUUUUGUAGAAGGGAGUGAAGGUAAUUUUUUCACUGUUCCUUCUACAGCAAUAUGACUAGAAGUAUCUUUAAAAAAUGCUAAGAGUUUUUGUUUAUUUCAGCUAUUUGGUGAUGUCUGUGUGUUGCUGAGGCUUUUUAAAAAAAAGGUGGUGAAUGAUAGCCUGGUUGCAGAAUGUAUUUUCUUUUUAAGGCGUAUCUUAAAACUUAGUGGUUUGCAAGGGAGAAAUCCUUGUGGAAGGAGUUUGAAUUAUUGAACAAAUGGUGGGCAGUUGAAAUUUAGGGAUACUUAACGGAAAGUACUCGACUAAGACUGUGUGCAACUUAUUUGUGAGUACUCCUGUUAUACUGUAAUAAGGUGUUACAUUCAUCCAGUCACGAAGUCUGAUGUAUUUGAUUUUAAGAUUUCUGAUUGUGUUAUGAGUAAGUGUAAUGAUUCUGAGAGCUGGAAUAUUGUCAGCCAUUGUGAAUACUACUGAAGGAGUCUCAAGAUGUAUAGUGUGAUAGAUGCAAUUUUGUUUGAUUUUUUUUUUUCCAAGGUCAAUUUAAUUUUGAUUUAUUUGCCUCAUUAACCCAAGGAUUCAGAAAAUUGAAUGCCACCUGAGUGAGGUAUUAUUAACGCUAGUGAAAUAUCUCCAAAAUUGCUCCAUGCUUAUAAAUUGGUCUUUUGAAAGCAUUUUAAAGGCAUAAUGAUACUGUAGUGAAAAUGUACAGCAUCAUUUAAAAACUGCAAAAUGCUUAUUUGAUUUCUGAAAUAAGACUUGGUCACCUGACUUAAAUGUAUACUGAUCUAUUAUUUAUGCUUUGAAAAUAGAGCUGAUAAAAAACAUAAGUGUUCUUGAUAUUAUAUUUUGUCAUAUCUAGCGAAAAAGAUUGAAAUCCAGAGAAACAAUUUUCUGAAGAAAUGAAAUAGUAUGCCCUCCUGAACCCCUGGGGAAAAUAGCCUCUCUGUUUGCUCAGAAUAUGAAGCAGUAAAAUAGUAUAAGUAAAACAGACAGCCUAUGUCACAUUCCUAUUUGUACAGUCUGGAAUGAUGUUUUAAAAACAUUUUCUAGUUAUUUUUGAUAAAUAAAUGGUGCAAAUAACAUCUGCAAACCAACCCUGCUGAUGUAAGAUUUUUCAGAUCAGAUUUGUUUGUCAGUGAAAGUUAGAAAAUUGCUUUGCAAAACUAAAGUUGUAUAACUCACAAAUAUAUGCAUAACAAAUGUACAAGAAUAUAUCUUGCUCUCUUUUGCCUUCCUUCAAAGAAGCUAAUGCUGAUUCUCCAUUAUCUUUGCUGGGCUCUAACUGUAGCUUGUUAAAAGUAUCAAAUAUAAAAAACCUCGGUUGCUAAGCAUAGAUGUGUUUAUAAGGUGUUAAAUAGCUGAACAGUCACAGUGAUAGUGGGGCAUCCAGCUACCAUUUUGGAACGGCGUAUCCUGUUUAACGCCUCUAGAAUUACCACUGAGCCAUUCGUGCCCCACUGAAAAUUAAGCUUAAGGGCUAUAGGAACCUUCCACAGGUGACACAUCUGUGGUCCAGUGGUGUAAAGGAAAUAAGUGUGUUGAGUGGCUGUUGCUUUCUGCAGAUUCUGCCAAAGGAUGGCAUGCUGAGCAUGAAGGCAAGUUUCUCUGAGUCUUGUGGCUUACAGAAGUGAACAUACUGUAAAGAUGCUGAUGACAUUAAUUUCUUUCACCGAUGUAAAACUGGAGAUGGCAAAAAAUUCCCUGGGCAGCUGGGUUGAGAAAUCGGAUGUCAUGAAGCUACAAAUGCCUUGUUUCCCAGGACUGGCUGAGGAAGUGUGUGUCUGUACAUCUCAUAACAUUGCUUGUCGAGUGCGUGGGCUUUCAGCUGCAUUGGAGCAAUGUAUGUCUUCAAGAGUCUCUUGUGCUUAAGACUUCUGUUCUCCACAGAGUUGGUUAAAACCAACUUUAAUGAUAUUUUUGUAAGGAUUCUCAGUCAAUGGACUCCAUCUCAGGCUACAUCCUGUGAUACGUCCACAGAGUACAAAAUGCAUGUAUUUUGUAAAUAUAUGUGUGUUUAAUAGUGACAACCCCCCCCACUUGUUUUUAUUUUCCAGUCUAUACACAGAUCAUGAUUUAAUAAACUCUUCCCUCUGAGGUUAUGCAACACUGGAAUGUUACCUUAUAUUUUAUUUUAAUACCUGAACAAAAAAUAGGGUUUAUUGGACUAAUAGGAUUUGAGUGGAUCUCUCUUCAUUGACUGAAAGUGUUGGAUAGAAGUUUUUUGUCAGGGUCAGGGCUAGAAUUCUAGAAAAGUGUGGUAUUUUUUUGUUGUUGCAGUUCACUGUUGUGUAUAAUGGUGGUGAUAAGUGAGAACAUGACACUGAAUAAUCUGAAUGGAUACUUCUGUACAGCAAAUACAAGAAGGAAUGAACAUGCUUAUAUUAAGUCCUAAAAAAUUAAAGUGUUACUAAUCCACCCAAGAUUCAUUUUUGGUUUCUCUUUGGCAGAAGGCUCAAGUGCUUCAAUACAGCAUGAUUUCUCUACCAGUAGUAUUUCAUUUCUUAAUGAUAAAAACAUUAUGUAUAGCCAUGAAGGAAUAUCACCAUGAUUUUAUAGAACCUGACUUUAUUGCAUCAUUUAUUUCCUCCGUAAUCUUGUGCUUAUGUGGUAUUUG